CGUCUUUUUCAGAGCGCUGUUUUCAUCUUUUUGCGCCUUUAUCUUUGCUAAAGCGCAUUCCAGCAAGUAGUCUUUAUACUCAAGCUGAGAAGACAUCAUGACAGACAUGCAUCUAGUGAGCUCUUUGUCACGAAGUGUCGUGGUUAAGGCUGUUUCCAGUAAGUCAGCCAUUUCAUCCUCCGGAUUGGAGGGUUUGGCCUUUUGAAUCUUAGUCAUGUACUGAGGUAUCAACUGACUAGUCAAGUUUGCCAACACUGUGUGUAUGUCCCUCAGGGGGUCUCCCUGGCUGGACUCUUUUGUGUUAGGCAUGUUUGGUUUUGGUAAAGAGGUGCAGCUGGUUGGUUGAUGAGUUUGAGUUGACUUAAAAUAAAAGGAAGAAGCAAAAUAUCAAACUAAGUGGGUUAAUCGACUUAAUUUAUCAGUGCUUGAUAAAGAGAAAGAGCCUAUCUGAGUAGAUCUCUAAUGGAGAGAAAAAUAACAUAAAGUUAAAUUCAUUUCAAUGAAAAUUGAAAACAAAAGGUG
RNAcentral lists this long non-coding RNA (522 nucleotides) under Xyrichtys novacula (pearly razorfish). Lineage: Eukaryota; Metazoa; Chordata; Actinopteri; Labriformes; Labridae. The record is from RNAcentral.